AGAAAGAUAAAUGGAAGAAGAAAAUGGAUGAGUUAACUGAGAUAUAUAAAUCAAGAAUCCCAUUCCUUCAACACUAGAAAUCGAUUCUUCUACUCUAGAAUCAUCACCUUCUUCUAAAUUGAAGUCGCUCUUGAGAACAUCUGAGUAUGCAUGUUUCGAAUCAAGUGACUCUCUUCCAGCACCCAUUGCAUCGAACUACCCAUUGCAUCGAACUCAACUCCUAACCC
Molecule: long non-coding RNA, 227 nt
Filed under: Elaeis guineensis (African oil palm)
Lineage: Eukaryota; Viridiplantae; Streptophyta; Magnoliopsida; Arecales; Arecaceae
Description: long non-coding RNA (EGUI_LNC041504)
Source: RNAcentral